GUGUUGUAUGAAAGGAGAGAAGUUUAACACUCUCCAUAAAGAUGGAAGAGGUCCUACUGGCCUUUACAAUAAAAAUGGGGAGAAGGCAUUGCCUUUUACUCUGUGGUAUAACAUCAUCGAAAGAU
This is a small nuclear RNA of Gracilinanus agilis (Agile Gracile Mouse Opossum), 125 nucleotides long. Lineage: Eukaryota; Metazoa; Chordata; Mammalia; Didelphimorphia; Didelphidae. The record is from RefSeq and is a predicted model, not a curated record.